CCCUUAGAUGUUCUGGGCCGCACACGCGCUACACUGAAGGAGGCAGCGUGUACUCCUGGAUCGAAAGAUUUGGGUAACCCGCGAAUCUCCUUCGUGCUAGGGAUUGAGGUUUGCAAUUAUCCUUCACGAACGAGGAAUUCCUUGUAAUCGCACAUCAUCAGUGUGCGCUGAAUACGUCCCUGCCCUUUGUACACACCGCCCGUCGCUCCUACCGAUCGAGUGAUCCGGUGAAUGUUUUGGAUCGGUUGCAAGUUGCGCGACGCGCUUCUUGCAUGCUGUGAAAUCAUGUAAGCCUUAUUGCUUAGAGGAAGGAGAAGUCGUAACA
Molecule: ribosomal RNA, 325 nt
Filed under: uncultured eukaryote
Lineage: Eukaryota
Description: partial 18S ribosomal RNA
Rfam family: Eukaryotic small subunit ribosomal RNA
Source: RNAcentral